Molecule: small RNA, 168 nt
Filed under: Arabidopsis thaliana (thale cress)
Lineage: Eukaryota; Viridiplantae; Streptophyta; Magnoliopsida; Brassicales; Brassicaceae
Description: ATSL260710
Source: RNAcentral
UCUUAUUUCUUUAUCAAUUUGUAUCAUUUUUUACACUGGCAUAACUCGGAAGCGGAUGAAUUUUUUAAUUUAUAGUGAUUCUUAAUUUAUCGAAUAUUAAUUUAUAGAGGUAUCACAUGAGUGUUCUACAAUUUUUUCAGUUUCCAAUACAUCUUGACAUAACCGAAU